This 26-nucleotide non-coding RNA is filed under the name Cricetulus griseus (Chinese hamster). The record is from RNAcentral. Lineage: Eukaryota; Metazoa; Chordata; Mammalia; Rodentia; Cricetidae.
AGACGUAGGCUGUCUUCACUGAGAGC